CACUAAAGAAAACUGACUGACUUAUCAUCUGGCCCACUUCCUAAAGAAAAAUCAUCUGAGUCAGAAAAAGUAACAAGAUGCAGCAUAUGAGGAGCAGGGAUAGGAUUCAAGGUCUGAACUGCACUCUAGGACUGCUCCCGAGACACAGACCGAACGCUGAAUCUCCAGCUGCCUGUGACUGGAAUUCAAGAGAAUCUUGAGUAGCAUGGUCAGAUCAGCUUUCCAGUGUGUUUCCAAAGCAUUGUGCUGGUAGAGCAACUGACUGUUUGGACAUAGAGAUGAUGUAAAAGCCAAAUUCUUGUGCUGGCAAUGCACAGAAGAGAGGAGGAAGUCUAUAGAACUAAUGAGGUACAGGCUCCAAGCUCCAUGGCUGUACUCACUAGGGCACCAGCUGCACUGACCUGGGAAGGGAUGCUACCUGGAAAGUUGCCAUCUUAUCUUUCUUCCACUUCAGGCACG
This is a long non-coding RNA of Harpia harpyja (harpy eagle), 459 nucleotides long. RefSeq lists it as uncharacterized. The record is from RefSeq and is a predicted model, not a curated record. Lineage: Eukaryota; Metazoa; Chordata; Aves; Accipitriformes; Accipitridae. The transcript is spliced from 3 exons.